This 491-nucleotide ribosomal RNA is filed under the name uncultured bacterium. RNAcentral's name for it is "partial 16S ribosomal RNA". It matches the Rfam family "Bacterial small subunit ribosomal RNA", at positions 29 to 507 of the family's 1533-position model. The record is from RNAcentral.
GUGAACGCUGGCGGUAGGCCUAACACAUGCAAGUCGAACGGCAGCACAGUAAGAGCUUGCUCUUACGGGUGGCGGGUGGCGGACGGGUGAGGAAUACAUCGGAAUCUACUUUUUCGUGGGGGAUAACGUAGGGAAACUUACGCUAAUACCGCAUACGACCUGCGGGUGAAAGCAGGGGAUCUUCGGACCUUGCGCGAUUGAAUGAGCCGAUGUCGGAUUAGCUAGUUGGCGGGGUAAAGGCCCACCAAGGCGACGAUCCGUAGCUGGUCUGAGAGGAUGAUCAGCCACACUGGAACUGAGACACGGUCCAGACUCCUACGGGAGGCAGCAGUGGGGAAUAUUGGACAAUGGGCGCAAGCCUGAUCCAGCCAUACCGCGUGGGUGAAGAAGGCCUUCGGGUUGUAAAGCCCUUUUGUUGGGAAAGAAAAGCAGCAGGUUAAUACCCCGCUGUUCUGACGGUACCCAAAGAAUAAGCACCGGCUAACUUCGUG